AAUUUUAUAGUUUAUUUAAAACAAUAGAUUGCAAGUCUAAUAAAAUAUACAUAUAUUAUAUUAAAAUUU
RNAcentral lists this transfer RNA (69 nucleotides) under Athalia birmanica. Its description in RNAcentral is "tRNA-Cys". The record is from RNAcentral. Lineage: Eukaryota; Metazoa; Arthropoda; Insecta; Hymenoptera; Athaliidae.